AAGCAACCAUUGGUUCCAAAGACCCACAUUGUCAGAUUAAGCCCAUCAGUCAUUGUGAGGCAGUAAUGAUCAAAUAGAUAACACUCAAAGAACUGUGAAGGCCUAUUUUGAGUCAGGAUCAAAUAGCUAAAGUGCCAAAAAACUUUGGUGAAACAAAUUCAUUUCAGGCCUGGACGUUUAUCAUUUAAAAAUGAGGGUAUUAGCAAAGCAUG
Molecule: long non-coding RNA, 212 nt
Organism: Phyllostomus discolor (pale spear-nosed bat)
Lineage: Eukaryota; Metazoa; Chordata; Mammalia; Chiroptera; Phyllostomidae
Exons: 3
Source: RefSeq, a predicted model, not a curated record